AACUACCACUCAGGGCCGGAAAGCUCUCCAAACUCGGUCAUUUAGAGGAAGUAAAAGUCGUAACAAGGUCUCCGUUGGUGAACCAGCGGAGGGAUCAUUACCGAGUUUACAACUCCCAAACCCAAUGUGAACGUUACCAAACUGUUGCCUCGGCGGGAUCUCUGCCCCGGGUGCGUCGCAGCCCCGGACCAAGGCGCCCGCCGGAGGACCAACCUAAAACUCUUAUUGUAUACCCCCUCGCGGGUUUUUUUUUAUAAUCUGAGCCUUCUCGGCGCCUCUCGUAGGCGUUUCGAAAAUGAAUCAAAACUUUCAACAACGGAUCUCUUGGUUCUGGCAUCGAUGAAGAACGCAGCGAAAUGCGAUAAGUAAUGUGAAUUGCAGAAUUCAGUGAAUCAUCGAAUCUUUGAACGCACAUUGCGCCCGCCAGUAUUCUGGCGGGCAUGCCUGUCCGAGCGUCAUUUCAACCCUCGAACCCCUCCGGGGGGUCGGCGUUGGGGAUCGGCCCUCCCUUAGCGGGUGGCCGUCUCCGAAAUACAGUGGCGGUCUCGCCGCAGCCUCUCCUGCGCAGUAGUUUGCACACUCGCAUCGGGAGCGCGGCGCGUCCACAGCCGUUAAACACCCAACUUCUGAAAUGUUGACCUCGGAUCAGGUAGGAAUACCCGCUGAACUUAAGCAUAUCAAUAAGCGGAGGAAAAGAAACCAACAGGGAUUGCCCCAGUAACGGCGAGUGAAGCGGCAACAGCUCAAAUUUGAAAUCUGGUCCCUAGGGCCCGAGUUGUAAUUUGUAGAGGAUGCUUUUGGUGAGGUGCCGCCCGAGUUCCCUGGAAC
RNAcentral lists this ribosomal RNA (828 nucleotides) under Trichoderma sp. 7 BRO-2013. Its description in RNAcentral is "eukaryotic LSU rRNA". The stretch from base 305 to 458 matches the Rfam family "5.8S ribosomal RNA". The record is from RNAcentral. Lineage: Eukaryota; Fungi; Ascomycota; Sordariomycetes; Hypocreales; Hypocreaceae.